UAUUCUCUAGCCAUAAGUCUAUAUAUAAAGAUACAAUGCUUCUAGACGCCCAAACCGAGUCAGGAGUAAGAAGUUUGUGUCUUCUCUUAUGGAAGGGAAAGCUAUUCUUCUUUGCCUUAUGGUGCUUGCGCACGUUGGAAAUUCCAUUCAUAUUGGUAAGAAAUCGAUCUCCCCAUCCCUAUAUAUGUUUCCGUUCUCCUAUCAACCAAAGUAGGAUAAUAUUGUCACUUAAACAUCAUGAAUAUUUUCAUAUUUUCCCCAAUUUGGACUUCUUUUUAUGGUGUGUGUUUUUCUUUACAGAUAAAUGCAAGGAUCUAGUUCACCCGCAAAGAAAAACAUGCAAGGAUCUAACUGCUUCUAUCGGCCGUGAGUGCAAUCUGUCAAAAUGCCAGGUGACCUGCAAAGAUUUGUUUGCAGCAGAACUCACAGCCUCAUGGUGUAUCAACCCCGUCCCAUACUAUUGGCAUUGUAGGUGCCGUAUCUGUUUGUAGAGUUGCACUGAAAAAUCAUGUCGAAAAAUGGACAAAUGAUGUGAUCCGAUAAUAAAAUCUUCCUGUGACAUGCAUCUAAGAAUACAUAACGAUUGCCAUUUUAGGUGUUCUAUUCGUUCUUGUCAUGUGUUCGAUAUUGAUCUGGUAAUUUUAGGUUUGCAUGGCCUCGUGAUUUAUAAGUUAGAAAAACAACCUUAUACGACAUGAAUGAAUCGACCUAAUUAUACC
RNAcentral lists this long non-coding RNA (719 nucleotides) under Triticum aestivum (bread wheat). Its description in RNAcentral is "long non-coding RNA (TAES_LNC000937)". The record is from RNAcentral. Lineage: Eukaryota; Viridiplantae; Streptophyta; Magnoliopsida; Poales; Poaceae.